Long non-coding RNA from Peromyscus californicus insignis, 2149 nucleotides. RefSeq lists it as uncharacterized. The transcript has 3 exons. The record is from RefSeq and is a predicted model, not a curated record. Lineage: Eukaryota; Metazoa; Chordata; Mammalia; Rodentia; Cricetidae.
UAAUUGCCUAAGUCAGGGAUCGUGUUCAUGAAAGAAACAGCCUGUGACGGCGUGGAUGGAAAAUAGAACUGUUAUCAUAUUCACUCAACUCUGUACCCUGUUUUCGGAAUGCAGAUGCAUUUUCCCACUGCGAAGACAGAUAAAUGAAACUGUGGAAAGCACAUGAUCUCCAAGUUUCUAGAGUCUGAGAACAGCCUGGCCCUACUUCCAACUCCAUGAUUUAAACCAAAUUCACUGAAAAUUGCCAACCUCCAACGGCCAUGGACAAACAAUUACCCCCUGGAAUGGAAUGCUGCUUACUCAUUACCAUCAAAAUCCACUACUGACCAAACAGCAGCCCUGACCCAUCCCAGAGAAAUGAUCUAAGGGUGGAAUGGGCAGGGAAGUACUGACAGCAAGAUUCCCCUGAUCUCAUCCACCACUGAGUCAGACAGAGCCCAGGCCUGGUGACAGAAAAGAGCCAGGCCCUGCUUCCCCGAGUCAGGCAGUCCUUGUCCUGGUGGAUAGAAGGAGAAGGAGCAGCAUCCUCUCAUUUCCUUAAUGGGCUAUUGCUUUUUAUGUGAAUGAAUGGCUGAGCAUGAAACAGCCCAGCAGGAGCUGCGUGCAUCGGAGAUGAGACAGAAGCACAAAUCUAUUCCUUGUUUAAAGAUCACCCUGCUAAGAAUAGAAACUGAAACACACGCUCAGGCGUGUGCACAUACAGCUCGAAGGAAGGGCAGGAUCCAAUGGAGAAACCCCUGACUUAGUAGAAGAUGGUCUGGUUCACAGAACCUCCAAGCAGGAAAGACUGCCAGCAAGCAUUCUGUCUAGAGCUGGUCUGUUACAGGAGAGACAACGGCCCAGAAAGGCAGGGCCUGGGGAGCACCACACACUGGACUUCAGGUUUCUGUCUCUCAAUUUCAAGCACGUCUCUUCAGCACACUGCCUCAGAAGCAAGCAGCUCAGAAGGUUGACCAGGAUCAACAUGGCACCACACUUCCAGGACUUGGCUGGGAGAAGGAUUAAGAAAGAGCAUCCACUAUUGCCCCCCUGCCUAGAACAUGUUAAACAAGUGUGUUAACUCUGUGAUACACCUCCAACCAACAACACCACAUUUGAAAAAGAAUUUUUUUUUUCGUUUUUCGAGACAGGGUUUCUCUGUGUGGUUCUGGCUGUCCUGGAACUAGCUCUGUAGAUCAGGCUGGCCUUGAUCUACCUGCCUCUGCCUCCAGAAUGCUGGAAUCAAAGACAGCCUGGCACAAAAUUAUUUUUAAAAGUUGAAAACUAGAUGUCCAAUAACAAGAAUUUGGUCAAAGCUCAGUUUAAUGGCACAUGCUUGUGAUUCCAGUACUCAAAAGGCUGAAGGAGGAAGAUUGCUAUGAAUUUGAGUCCAGUUGGGGGCACAUAGUGAUUUCAAGCCAGUCUGGGUAGAGUGAGUACUUUUCUCAAAGAGAGGAGGGGGAAGAAAAAGAGGAGGAGGGGACUAGACCAGUGAAAUUAAUAACCAUCAUACAGAGUGUUCCAUGUCCAUUGAAAACAGAUCUUACGGGCUGGAGAAACGGCUCAGAAGUUAAGAGCGCUGGCCUCCCUUCAAGUGGACCUGGGUUCAGUUCUCAGCCACACAUGGUGGGUCACAGCUGAAUGAAAAAGUGGACUAAAAAGAAGGACAUGACUUCUCCUAAGAGGGGAGUGGAGGUUUAUUGUAAACAAAAGGAAGAGCACAGGAGAUAUGAGGGUGAGCAGAGCCGGAGGCAUCUGGAAGGGUCCAGAGUGAACAUAGCCAGACUGAACUGAACCUUGUGUGGGGAGGGGAGAGGGAGAGCCAAGAGACCAGGAGACCAAAGGGGCAGAAGGGUGAAAAGGGUAAAAGGAGCAGCUGGAUUGUAGAGGGAAGAGCAGCUGGGGGAUGGGCAGCCCAGUCCCUGAGCUGGAGAGUUCAGGGUAGGUGUUGGAGUAUGCCAGCAAGGAGGACCCUGUAACGGGUAGGGACUGAGGGAUGCUGGGAGAACUUGGAAGCCAGUGUCCACUCUGAUGUGUUAGACAUGCACCUCAGCCAUUUGUCCAGGGUUUGCUAUCUAACAACAACCAUUUAUAACUCCAGUUCUAGGGGAUCCAACUGCCUCUUCUGACCUCACAGGGCACAGACAUACAUGCAAGCAAAACACUCAUA